UAGGUCGACCCGCUGAACUUAAGCAUAUCAAUAAGCGGAGGAAGAGAAACCAACYGGGAUUCCCUCAGUAACGGCGAGCGAAGUGGGAUGACUGUUGUGCCCAAGCCUGUAAUCUCCGGUCCGUCCCAUGUGAGGAUCGGCGAAUUGUGGUGUUUAGAGUGGGAUUGUUCCGUGUGACAUCGUUCUCGCUGGCCCGAAGUCGACCUGGAACGGCACGCCCGAGAGGGUGAGAGCCCCGUAGGGCCCGGAAACAGAGAGCGACGGGACGAGGAUCCGCACUCGUCGAGUCGGGUUGUUUGGAAUGCAGCCCCAAAGGGUGGUAGACUCCAUCCAAGGCUGAAUACGGGCGCGAGACCGAUAGAAGACAAGUACC
RNAcentral lists this ribosomal RNA (373 nucleotides) under Oceanapia sp. B GPM-2011. Its description in RNAcentral is "eukaryotic LSU rRNA". It matches the Rfam family "Eukaryotic large subunit ribosomal RNA", at positions 16 to 352 of the family's 3401-position model. The record is from RNAcentral. Lineage: Eukaryota; Metazoa; Porifera; Demospongiae; Haplosclerida; Phloeodictyidae.